GAUGAACGCUAGCGGCAGGCUUAAUACAUGCAAGGCGAAGGGGCAGCAAUGUCACUGUCGUACGGGUGCGUAACGCGUAUGCAACCUACCUAUCACUGGGGGAUAGCCCGGGGGAAACCCGGAUUAAUACCGCAUAACACAGGGGUCCCGCAUGGGUACUAUUUGUUAAAAGAUUUAUCGGUGGUAGAUGGGCAUGCGUU
Molecule: ribosomal RNA, 200 nt
Filed under: uncultured bacterium
Lineage: Bacteria
Description: partial 16S ribosomal RNA
Rfam family: Bacterial small subunit ribosomal RNA
Source: RNAcentral